RNAcentral lists this transfer RNA (74 nucleotides) under Oscillospiraceae bacterium. Its description in RNAcentral is "tRNA-Arg". It matches the Rfam family "tRNA". From Rfam's summary of the family: Transfer RNA (tRNA) molecules are approximately 80 nucleotides in length. Their secondary structure includes four short double-helical elements and three loops (D, anti-codon, and T loops). Further hydrogen bonds mediate the characteristic L-shaped molecular structure. tRNAs have two regions of fundamental functional importance: the anti-codon, which is responsible for specific mRNA codon recognition, and the 3' end, to which the tRNAs corresponding amino acid is attached (by aminoacyl-tRNA synthetases). tRNAs cope with the degeneracy of the genetic code in two manners: having more than one tRNA (with a specific anti-codon) for a particular amino acid; and 'wobble' base-pairing, i.e. permitting non-standard base-pairing at the 3rd anti-codon position. Lineage: Bacteria; Bacillati; Bacillota; Clostridia; Eubacteriales; Oscillospiraceae. The record is from RNAcentral.
GCGCCGCUAGCUCAGCUGGAUAGAGUGUUUGACUACGAAUCAAAAGGUCACAGGUUCGAGUCCUGUGCGGCGCG